RNAcentral lists this ribosomal RNA (1538 nucleotides) under Staphylococcus aureus. Its description in RNAcentral is "16S ribosomal RNA". It matches the Rfam family "Bacterial small subunit ribosomal RNA". The record is from RNAcentral. Lineage: Bacteria; Bacillati; Bacillota; Bacilli; Caryophanales; Staphylococcaceae.
AGAGUUUGAUCCUGGCUCAGGAUGAACGCUGGCGGCGUGCCUAAUACAUGCAAGUCGAGCGAACGGACGAGAAGCUUGCUUCUCUGAUGUUAGCGGCGGACGGGUGAGUAACACGUGGAUAACCUACCUAUAAGACUGGGAUAACUUCGGGAAACCGGAGCUAAUACCGGAUAAUAUUUUGAACCGCAUGGUUCAAAAGUGAAAGACGGUCUUGCUGUCACUUAUAGAUGGAUCCGCGCUGCAUUAGCUAGUUGGUAAGGUAACGGCUUACCAAGGCAACGAUGCAUAGCCGACCUGAGAGGGUGAUCGGCCACACUGGAACUGAGACACGGUCCAGACUCCUACGGGAGGCAGCAGUAGGGAAUCUUCCGCAAUGGGCGAAAGCCUGACGGAGCAACGCCGCGUGAGUGAUGAAGGUCUUCGGAUCGUAAAACUCUGUUAUUAGGGAAGAACAUAUGUGUAAGUAACUGUGCACAUCUUGACGGUACCUAAUCAGAAAGCCACGGCUAACUACGUGCCAGCAGCCGCGGUAAUACGUAGGUGGCAAGCGUUAUCCGGAAUUAUUGGGCGUAAAGCGCGCGUAGGCGGUUUUUUAAGUCUGAUGUGAAAGCCCACGGCUCAACCGUGGAGGGUCAUUGGAAACUGGAAAACUUGAGUGCAGAAGAGGAAAGUGGAAUUCCAUGUGUAGCGGUGAAAUGCGCAGAGAUAUGGAGGAACACCAGUGGCGAAGGCGACUUUCUGGUCUGUAACUGACGCUGAUGUGCGAAAGCGUGGGGAUCAAACAGGAUUAGAUACCCUGGUAGUCCACGCCGUAAACGAUGAGUGCUAAGUGUUAGGGGGUUUCCGCCCCUUAGUGCUGCAGCUAACGCAUUAAGCACUCCGCCUGGGGAGUACGACCGCAAGGUUGAAACUCAAAGGAAUUGACGGGGACCCGCACAAGCGGUGGAGCAUGUGGUUUAAUUCGAAGCAACGCGAAGAACCUUACCAAAUCUUGACAUCCUUUGACAACUCUAGAGAUAGAGCUUUCCCCUUCGGGGGACAAAGUGACAGGUGGUGCAUGGUUGUCGUCAGCUCGUGUCGUGAGAUGUUGGGUUAAGUCCCGCAACGAGCGCAACCCUUAAGCUUAGUUGCCAUCAUUAAGUUGGGCACUCUAAGUUGACUGCCGGUGACAAACCGGAGGAAGGUGGGGAUGACGUCAAAUCAUCAUGCCCCUUAUGAUUGGGCUACACACGUGCUACAAUGGACAAUACAAAGGGCAGCGAACCGCGAGGUCAAGCAAAUCCCAUAAAGUUGUUCUCAGUUCGGAUUGUAGUCUGCAACUCGACUACAUGAAGCUGGAAUCGCUAGUAAUCGUAGAUCAGCAUGCUACGGUGAAUACGUUCCCGGGUCUUGUACACACCGCCCGUCACACCACGAGAGUUUGUAACACCCGAAGCCGGUGGAGUAACCUUUUAGGAGCUAGCCGUCGAAGGUGGGACAAAUGAUUGGGGUGAAGUCGUAACAAGGUAGCCGUAUCGGAAGGUGCGGCUGGAUCACCU